Oryzias latipes (Japanese medaka) is the source of this 1219-nucleotide long non-coding RNA. RefSeq lists it as uncharacterized. Lineage: Eukaryota; Metazoa; Chordata; Actinopteri; Beloniformes; Adrianichthyidae. The record is from RefSeq and is a predicted model, not a curated record.
UGGGCGUCAAUAAAGGUAAUCUGGUUGUCGCGCGUUCUGCAUCUCUGCGCGAGCUAAAGAAGUCUCAAAGCUGAAUCUGCCACGAGGCUCGACAACUUCUUGCAUCAACUGUGAUCGCUGUGGCCGCCAAAACAUCCAAAUGUAAGGCGGGCUACAAAGAUUUCAGGCCAAAAGAGAACGCCUCACAUGUGAUGAAGUGUCUGUAUUGGUUGGAAAAACCAGCAGCCCUCCAGUGCUUCAGCCGUCCAACCAUCAACCGUUUCAGACAUCCAUCCUCCCACCACUUCAGCCCCACAGCCGUCCACCAGUGUGCCAACUCCGGACAUUUUACUAUCCUGGUACAUUCUUAUUUUUCUGCACAGUUAGCAAAAAUGAUAUGUUUUUUAGAUAUUCCUGUGUUUUUUUAUCCUCAACAAAUGUUUCUCCAAAGAAAUAUGAAAAUACAGAAUAAUUCAUCUGGUGGUUAUUUUUACACUUUUCCUCAAAUCUUUAAUAAGAAAAAAAUAAUUCAGUUCAAGUUUACUUGUGCUUCUCUUUUUAAUGGGCAUUACAGUUGAUAUAAAACAUAUAACAUGCAAUUAAAAUGCUUUGUAGUUAAAAACAUUUUACACACUAUUAAAAGAUUCUAUAAAAUAUUAUUUAAAUAAAAAAGGAUUCCUUUCCAAGAAAAUGUUGACUACCGUAUAUCUUCCCAUAGUAGCCCUGGCGUUUAUUCCAUCACAGACAGAACAGUGAUGGUUAAUGGGUUUAUUUUGCAGCAAAACUUCAUCAAGAAAUGCAGACAAACAUCAGCAGAUGAACAUUUCAGGAUUUAUUCAAAUGAUGAGAACAUUGGAUUGUGUUCUGAUCAGCACUGGCUGUUGACGUUUCUUUUCUCCUUGAAGCAUCAGCCUCCGUAUCAAAAAUCAUGUUGGUUGUCAUGAGGAUCUCUUUCCUGGAGACACGCCCACCUUUCCGUCUUUGUGCAAUAAUUCAUGUUCAAACCAGUUCUUCUAAGUUGUCGCUUUUCUUUGCAUUUCCACCAGUAAAAAGUAAUACGACAAAAUACUUGCAGAAUUUGUAAAGAUUUGGAUUUUGUAUUAUUAAUUUGCCUUUUUUAGUCUUUUAUUAUAAAAUAACUAUGCAUUAUUACUUUAUUUUAACUAACACAUUUAUCUUAGUUUACAGUAGUCCUCUUAAACAUCUCUUAAACAAGUUUACACUUUUCAUCUUUCAGAAU